GGGCGGUGUGUACAAGGGGCAGGGACGUAAUCAACGCAAGCUGAUGACUUGCGCUUACUAGGGAUUCCUCGUUGAAGAGCAAUAAUUGCAAUGCUCUAUCCCCAGCACGACAGAGUUUAACAAGAUUACCCGGGCCUUCCGGCCAAGGAGGUACUCGCUGACUCUGUCAGUGUAACGCGCGUGCGGCCCAGGACAUCUAAGGGCAUCACAGACCUGUUAUUGCCUCAAACUUCCAUCGGCUUGAGCCGAUAGUCCCUCUAAGAAGCCAGCGAACUGCCAGAGCAGUACGGGCUAUUUAGCAGGUUAAGGUCUCGUUCGUUAUCGCAAUUAAGCAGACAAAUCACUCCACCAACUAAGAACGGCCAUGCACCACCACCCACAGAAUCAAGAAAGAGCUCUCAAUCUGUCAAUCCUCACUGUGUCUGGACCUGGUGAGUUUCCCCGUGUUGAGUCAAAUUAAGCCGCAGGUUCCACCCCUGGUGGUGCCCUUCCGUCAAUUUCUUUAAGUUUCAGUCUUGCGACCAUACUCCCCCUGGAGCCCAAGCACUUUGAUUUCUCGAAAGGUGCCGAACGCGUCAAAUAAUAACAUCGUCCGAUCCCUAGUCGGCAUAGUUUAUAGUUAAGACUACGACGGUAUCUGAUCGUCUUCGAUCCCCUAACUUUCGUUCCUUAUCAAUGAAAACAUCCUUGGCAAAUGCUUUCGCAGUAGUUAGUCUUCAGUAGAUCCAAGAAUUUCACCUCUGACAACUGAAUACUGAUGCCCCCGACUGUCCCUAUUAAUCAUUACGGCGGUCCUAGAAACCAACAAAAUAGAACCACACGUCCUAUUCUAUUAUUCCAUGCUAA
This 846-nucleotide ribosomal RNA is filed under the name uncultured fungus. RNAcentral describes it as "partial 18S ribosomal RNA". Lineage: Eukaryota; Fungi. The record is from RNAcentral.